UACGUAGGGUGCGAGCGUUAAUCGGAAUUACUGGGCGUAAAGCGUGCGCAGGCGGUGGCUCAAGCCAGGCGUGAAAUCCCCGGGCUUAACCUGGGAACUGCGUCUGAUACUGGGUGGCUUGAAUCCGGGAGAGGGAUGCGGAAUUCCAGGUGUAGCGGUGAAAUGCGUAGAUAUCUGGAGGAACACCGGUGGCGAAGGCGGCAUCCUGGACCGGCAUUGACGCUGAGGCGCGAAAGCGUGGGGAGCGAACAGG
RNAcentral lists this ribosomal RNA (253 nucleotides) under uncultured bacterium. Its description in RNAcentral is "partial 16S ribosomal RNA". It matches the Rfam family "Bacterial small subunit ribosomal RNA", at positions 524 to 776 of the family's 1533-position model. The record is from RNAcentral.